This 82-nucleotide transfer RNA is filed under the name Dimargaris cristalligena. It matches the Rfam family "tRNA". Rfam says of the family: Transfer RNA (tRNA) molecules are approximately 80 nucleotides in length. Their secondary structure includes four short double-helical elements and three loops (D, anti-codon, and T loops). Further hydrogen bonds mediate the characteristic L-shaped molecular structure. tRNAs have two regions of fundamental functional importance: the anti-codon, which is responsible for specific mRNA codon recognition, and the 3' end, to which the tRNAs corresponding amino acid is attached (by aminoacyl-tRNA synthetases). tRNAs cope with the degeneracy of the genetic code in two manners: having more than one tRNA (with a specific anti-codon) for a particular amino acid; and 'wobble' base-pairing, i.e. permitting non-standard base-pairing at the 3rd anti-codon position. Lineage: Eukaryota; Fungi; Kickxellomycota; Dimargaritomycetes; Dimargaritales; Dimargaritaceae. The record is from Rfam by way of RNAcentral.
GGGCAGAUGGCCGAGUGGUCUAAGGCGCUACGUUAAGGCCGUAGUCUCUUCGGAGGCGUGGGUUCGAAUCCCACUCUGCUCA